RNAcentral lists this transfer RNA (84 nucleotides) under bacterium. RNAcentral describes it as "tRNA-Ser". It matches the Rfam family "tRNA". From Rfam's summary of the family: Transfer RNA (tRNA) molecules are approximately 80 nucleotides in length. RNAcentral also lists the same sequence under 2 other names. The record is from RNAcentral.
GGAAGGAUGGCCGAGCGGUCUAUGGCGCUGCACUUGAAAUGCAGAGGGUGAAAGCCCGCGGGGGUUCAAAUCCCCCUCCUUCCG